UAGGGAAUCUUCGGCAAUGGACGGAAGUCUGACCGAGCAACGCCGCGUGAGUGAAGAAGGUUUUCGGAUCGUAAAGCUCUGUUGUAAGAGAAGAACGAGUGUGAGAGUGGAAAGUUCACACUGUGACGGUAUCUUACCAGAAAGGGACGGCUAACUACGUGCCAGCAGCCGCGGUAAUACGUAGGUCCCGAGCGUUGUCCGGAUUUAUUGGGCGUAAAGCGAGCGCAGGCGGUUAGAUAAGUCUGAAGUUAAAGGCUGUGGCUUAAUCAUAGUAGGCUUUGGAAACUGUUUAACUUGAGUGCAAGAGGGGAGAGUGGAAUUCCAUGUGUAGCGGUGAAAUGCGUAGAUAUAUGGAGGAACACCGGUGGCGAAAGCGGCUCUCUGGCUUGUAACUGACGCUGAGGCUCGAAAGCGUGGGGAGCAAACAGGAUUAGAUACCCUGGUAGUCCACGCUGUAAACGAUGAGUGCUAGGUGUUAGACCCUUUCCGGGGUUUAGUGCCGUAGCUAACGCAUUAAGCACUCCGCCUGGGGAGUACGACCGCAAGGUU
Molecule: ribosomal RNA, 549 nt
Filed under: uncultured bacterium
Lineage: Bacteria
Description: bacterial SSU rRNA
Rfam family: Bacterial small subunit ribosomal RNA
Source: RNAcentral